AUGGCGGGGAGGUACGACCGCAACCCCUUCGACGAGGAUGACGUCAACCCCUUCGCGGGAGGAGGUGUACCCCCUGCUUCUAAUUCUCGGAUGCCACCCCUUCCUCACGAACCUGCUGGAUUCUAUAAUGAUCGCGCUACCGUGGACAUACCUCUUGGUUCAUCGAAGGACUUAAAGCAAAAGGAGAAAGAACUGCAGUCGAAGGAGGCUGAGCUUAACAAACGGGAAAGAGAACUUAAAAGAAGGGAAGAAGCUGCAGCUAGAGCUGGUAUUGUCAUUGAAACGAAAAACUGGCCACCAUUUAUGCCCAUCAUUCAUCAUGACAUUUCAAAUGAGAUACCAAUCCACCUACAAAGGAUGCAGUACCUUGCAUUUUGUUCAUUGUUGGGAUUGACGUUAUGCCUCUUUUGGAACAUCAUUGCAACUACCGCAGCAUGGAUUAAAGGGGCAGGUGUUGUCAUCUGGUUGCUAGCAAUUAUCUACUUCAUCUCUGGUGUCCCUGGGGCCUAUGUGCUAUGGUAUCGGCCGCUUUAUAAUGCAAUGAGGACUGAAAGCGCUCUGAAGUUUGGAUGGUUUUUUCUGCUGUACUUGAUCCAUAUAAUAUUCUGCAUCUGGUCAGCUGUGUCUCCCCCAUUUCCUUUCAAAGGAAAAUCUAUCGCUGGGUUUUUGCCGGCAAUUGACGUCAUAGGCAGCAACGCUAUUGUGGGGAUAUUUUACUUUGUUGGAUUCGGACUGUUCUGCCUUGAAGCACUGCUCAGCAUUGUGGUCAUCCAGCAAGUAUACAUGUACUUCCGUGGAAGUGGAAAGGCUGCUCAGAUGAGGCAAGAGGCAGCACGUGGUGCUAUGAGAUCUGCCUUCUGA
RNAcentral lists this ribosomal RNA (861 nucleotides) under Triticum aestivum (bread wheat). RNAcentral's name for it is "partial small subunit ribosomal RNA". The record is from RNAcentral. Lineage: Eukaryota; Viridiplantae; Streptophyta; Magnoliopsida; Poales; Poaceae.